UUAAUUAAGAGUUUGAUCCUGGCUCAGGACGAACGCUGGCGGCACGCUUAACACAUGCAAGUCGAACGAGAGAAGAGGAGCUUGCUUUUCUGAUCUAGUGGCGGACGGGUGAGUAACACGUGAGCAAUCUGCCUUUCAGAGGGGGAUACCGAUUGGAAACGAUCGUUAAUACCGCAUAAUAUAAUUGAACCGCAUGAUUUGAUUAUCAAAGAUUUAUCGCUGAAAGAUGAGCUCGCGUCUGAUUAGCUAGUUGGUAAGGUAACGGCUUACCAAGGCGACGAUCAGUAGCCGGACUGAGAGGUUGAUCGGCCACAUUGGGACUGAGACACGGCCCAGACUCCUACGGGAGGCAGCAGUGGGGAAUAUUGCACAAUGGAGGAAACUCUGAUGCAGCGAUGCCGCGUGAGGGAAGAAGGUUUUAGGAUUGUAAACCUCUGUCUUCAGGGACGAAAAAAGACGGUACCUGAGGAGGAAGCUCCGGCUAACUACGUGCCAGCAGCCGCGGUAAUACGUAGGGAGCGAGCGUUGUCCGGAAUUACUGGGUGUAAAGGGAGCGUAGGCGGGAUCGCAAGUCAGAUGUGAAAACUAUGGGCUUAACCCAUAAACUGCAUUUGAAACUGUGGUUCUUGAGUGAAGUAGAGGUAAGCGGAAUUCCUAGUGUAGCGGUGAAAUGCGUAGAUAUUAGGAGGAACAUCAGUGGCGAAGGCGGCUUACUGGGCUUUAACUGACGCUGAGGCUCGAAAGCGUGGGGAGCAAACAGGAUUAGAUACCCUGGUAGUCCACGCCGUAAACGAUGAUUACUAGGUGUGGGGGGACUGACCCCUUCCGUGCCGCAGCAAACGCAAUAAGUAAUCCACCUGGGGAGUACGACCGCAAGGUUGAAACUCAAAGGAAUUGACGGGGGCCCGCACAAGCAGUGGAGUAUGUGGAUUAAUUCGAAGCAACGCGAAGAACCUUACCAGGUCUUGACAUCGUAUGCAUAGCUCAGAGAUGAGUGAAAUCUCUUCGGAGACAUAUAGACAGGUGGUGCAUGGUUGUCGUCAGCUCGUGUCGUGAGAUGUUGGGUUAAGUCCCGCAACGAGCGCAACCCUUACUGUUAGUUGCUACGCAAGAGCACUCUAGCAGGACUGCCGUUGACAAAACGGAGGAAGGUGGGGAUGACGUCAAAUCAUCAUGCCCCUUAUGACCUGGGCCUCACACGUACUACAAUGGCUGUCAACAGAGGGAAGCAAAGCCGCGAGGUGGAGCGAACCCCUAAAAGCAGUCUUAGUUCGGAUUGUAGGCUGCAACCCGCCUACAUGAAGUCGGAAUUGCUAGUAAUCGCAGAUCAGCAUGCUGCGGUGAAUACGUUCCCGGGCCUUGUACACACCGCCCGUCACGCCAUGGGAGUCGGUAACACCCGAAGCCUGUAGUCUAACCGUAAGGAGGACGCAGUCGAAGGUGGGAUUGAUGACUGGGGUGAAGUCGUAACAAGGUAGCCGUAUCGGAAGGUGCGGCUGGAUCACCUCCUUU
RNAcentral lists this ribosomal RNA (1512 nucleotides) under Oscillospiraceae bacterium. RNAcentral describes it as "bacterial SSU rRNA". It matches the Rfam family "Bacterial small subunit ribosomal RNA". The record is from RNAcentral. Lineage: Bacteria; Bacillati; Bacillota; Clostridia; Eubacteriales; Oscillospiraceae.